This 467-nucleotide ribosomal RNA is filed under the name Paradelphacodes paludosa. RNAcentral's name for it is "partial 16S ribosomal RNA". It matches the Rfam family "Archaeal large subunit ribosomal RNA", at positions 1999 to 2669 of the family's 2987-position model. Lineage: Eukaryota; Metazoa; Arthropoda; Insecta; Hemiptera; Delphacidae. The record is from RNAcentral.
UUUAAAUAGCUGCAGUAUUUUAACUGUACAAAGGUAGCGUAGUCGUUAGUCUUUUAAUUGAGGUCUAGUAUGAAGGGUUUGACAAGAAAAAAUCUUUAUUAAUUUAAGUCCAUGAAUUUUAUUUUUUAGUUAAAAAGCUAAAAUUGAGAAAUGGGACGAUAAGACCCUAUAGAUCUUGAAAUUUUUAUUUUAGGGGGUUAUUAAAGUUAAUUUAAAUUUUAUAAAAUAAAAUUUUUUGUUGGGGUGACAGAUAAAUUUUUAAAACUUUAUUACUUUCAUUCAUGGGUAAAUGAAUCAAAAUGAACCUAAACUUAGGGUCGUUAAAAUAAGAUACCUUAGGGAUAACAGCGUAAUAAAUUUGUAUAGUUCUUAUAGAUAAAUUUGUUUACGACCUCGAUGUUGAAUUAAUUAAAAGUUUUGGGGCAGAAAUUAAAAUUUUGGGUCUGUUCGACCUUUAAAUGAUUACA